Long non-coding RNA from Culicoides brevitarsis, 471 nucleotides. RefSeq lists it as uncharacterized. The transcript has 3 exons. The record is from RefSeq and is a predicted model, not a curated record. Lineage: Eukaryota; Metazoa; Arthropoda; Insecta; Diptera; Ceratopogonidae.
UCACUCUGUUCAGUUCGCUUUUCGGUACUUGUCUCUUCUCUCAUUCGUCAAGCCAAAUUAAAUUCUGCAUCAAGUGUUUUCUUUUCGGAAAAGACAAAAACUUUUGUUACAGAAGGUACACAAAAUUACCCCGAAAAUCGAGAGAAAAAACAAUGUUCUACUAGAUGAACUUUUAUUAUGUUGUUAAAUUUACUGUAUCCGGUUCUCACGAUAAUUGUGCUGUUCCUCAUUUUGUUUUUAGUGGCUAAAGUACGAAAGUCUCGUGGCAUAAUUACAAAUUUGCAAGCAGCAGCAGCGACAGAAGAAAAAUUGCCUGACCUAUCGCCGCCGCCAUGUUACACCGUCGCUGCCGAAGGAUUACCAACUUACAGUGAAGCGGUAUCGUUGUCGUUUAGAAAACUCACAAACAUUCUCUCAUUAAUUUUUAAAUGGAAACGACACCACAGAGAAUAAAGACUUUGCUCCUUAUUA